CCUGAUUAGCUAGUUGGUGGGGUAAUGGCUCACCAAGGCGACGAUCAGUAGCGGGUCUGAGAGGAUGAUCCGUCACACUGGAACUGAGACACGGUCCAGACUCCUACGGGAGGCAGCAGUGGGGAAUUUUGGACAAUGGGGGCAACCCUGAUCCAGCCAUUCCGCGUGAGUGAAGAAGGCCUUCGGGUUGUAAAGCUCUUUCAGCUGGAACGAAACGGUAUUCACUAAUAUUGGGUGCUAAUGACGGUACCAGCAGAAGAAGCACCGGCUAACUACGUGCCAGCAGCCGCGGUAAUACGUAGGGUGCGAGCGUUAAUCGGAAUUACUGGGCGUAAAGCGUGCGCAGGCGGAUUGUUAAGCAAGAUGUGAAAUCCCCGGGCUUAACCUGGGAAUGGCAUUUUGAACUGGCAGUCUAGAGUGUGUCAGAGGGGGGUGGAAUUCCACGUGUAGCAGUGAAAUGCGUAGAUAUGUGGAGGAACACCAAUGGCGAAGGCAACCCCCUGGGAUAACACUGACGCUCAUGUACGAAAGCGUGGGUAGCAAACAGGAUUAGAUACCCUGGUAGUCCACGCCCUAAACGAUGUCAACUGGUUGUUGGGGGAGUGAAAUCCCUUAGUAACGAAGCUAACGCGUGAAGUUGACCGCCUGGGGAGUACGGUCGCAAGAUUAAAACUCAAAGGAAUUGACGGGGACCCGCACAAGCGGUGGAUGAUGUGGAUUAAUUCGAUGCAACGCGAAAAACCUUACCUACCCUUGACAUGUCCAGAAUCCUGCAGAGAUGCGGGAGUGCCCGAAAGGGAAUUGGAACACAGGUGCUGCAUGGCUGUCGUCAGCUCGUGUCGUGAGAUGUUGGGUUAAGUCCCGCAACGAGCGCAACCCUUAUCAUUAGUUGCUACGCAAGGGCACUCUAAUGAAACUGCCGGUGACAAACCGGAGGAAGGUGGGGAUGACGUCAAGUCCUCAUGGCCCUUAUGGGUAGGGCUUCACACGUCAUACAAUGGUCGGUACAGAGGGUUGCCAAGCCGCGAGGUGGAGCCAAUCCCAAAAGCCGAUCGUAGUCCGGAUUGUUCUCUGCAACUCGAGAGCAUGAAGUCGGAAUCGCUAGUAAUCGCGGAUCAGCAUGUCGCGGUGAAUACGUUCCCGGGUCUUGUACACACCGCCCGUCACACCAUGGGAGUGGAAUCUGCCAGAAGUAGGUAGCCUAACCGCAAGGAGGGCGCUUACCACGGUGGGUUUCAUGACUGGGGUGAAGUCGUAACAAGGUA
Molecule: ribosomal RNA, 1265 nt
Filed under: metagenome
Description: bacterial SSU rRNA
Rfam family: Bacterial small subunit ribosomal RNA
Source: RNAcentral